RNAcentral lists this transfer RNA (64 nucleotides) under Batophila aerata. RNAcentral describes it as "tRNA-Val". The record is from RNAcentral. Lineage: Eukaryota; Metazoa; Arthropoda; Insecta; Coleoptera; Chrysomelidae.
CAAAUUAUAGCUUAUAGAGCAUUUUAGUUACAUUAAAAGGGUAUUGUUUAAUCAAUUAAUUUGA